CGGGGUCAAAAACUAUUUGAGAGAAAAGCGCGCGGAGUCACGCGGACCACGCGGGACAAACAAAAUAGCAGAAGUUACGCGAAGCAGCCUCCACGUGCCAAGAGACCCCACACUCGGCCACUCCCCACGACUUCUUCCAUCUGUAGCCGACCCAGCCGCCGCACUCGUCGCCGUGAACACCGCCGCUUCCCCAUCCCCGCAUCCACACAGCCCCGCCAGGGCUGCUGCUCCAUUCCCCAUCACCACGCCACCGCACCCGCUUCCUCCAUCCACGCCGAUUGAGACAGAGAGAGGGGGGACAGGGUCGUGGAGCGCCGCCACACGCCUGGAUCUGGGUGCUACUGUGCGCAUCCUUGCCCGAUCUGGACGCCUCCGCGCGCGUCCGUGCCCGAUCUGGACGCCUCCGCGCGCGUACAUGCCGCAUCUGGCCGCCACGAUUGAGGAUUGGUGGAGGAGCACGGGAAACGGCUUGGUUGUGGAGCAGGGGAAGGGAGCACGGGGCGGCGCCGUUGUGGCUGGAGCAGGGCUUCACUUCGAGGGUGGCGGACACGGCUGCAUCGUGUAGGUGGUGGAGAAGGACGACCGUGCGCCCCGGCGUCCUUUGUGUGGUGGCAGUCAUGCGCAGUGCCACGUCGAGACUGGAUGAAGCACGGGCGACCGUUGUGUCUAGGAGGUGAGCUUCUCAUCCUCGAUCUCGAGAAGAAUUAUAGUGACUCAUGACGAAACAUAGCAGCGUAGGAGGCAGCAAUGGAGCAAAGGAGGCAGAGGUGAGGAAGGGCAGCCAGGACCCCCUCCCCCUGUCUCUGAAUCCUCUAAUCCUUUCCUCAAUUCCUGACAUACUGAGUAGUUAAUUUUGUAUGGUUGGCUGCUGAACCCGUUAUUGCAUUAUGUGCAUCGAGCAACAUUAAAUUUAUCUCUUUCCUGGCAAAUUCGGAAUUGGAUCAUUUGUUCAACAAUAUACUUCUGAUUUUUCCAUAAUUAUGGCUCAAAAUGUCAUGCAGUCUAAUUUGGUUACCUAUUUUGUUUUCUUGAAGCUUAUAGAUGUAGGCGCUCGUAGGUGCUAAAUCUUCACAUUUAAAGAUUCUGGAUAGAUCCUCUUAUCUGUUUUUGCUGUUUUACAACAUAAACAUCUACAGAUAUGGAAAUUGCAGCACCGUGCAGCUACAGUCCUGCAGCAGGUUGACGGGCGAAUGGUCAUAGUGGGAAGACAACGGGCAUGUCGACUGCUGCGAGUAUUCCAUUCUCGUAGACAACUACAUUUGCAUGAUGAGCAAGAGGUGUGUUGUUUUCCUGGAGAAAAUUUUGAGAAAAUCAUCAAUUUGUUUAGCUUUAUUUAAAUCUGUUUGUUGAUCUGAGAUUUUGUACUGUACUCUUCUGGGAGCAAUAUGUAGCAAACGGUUCGAAAUUAGAAACUUCUUUACAUUUUAAGGAAUAAUCCAUCUUACCCCUUCGAAAAAGUAGAAGGAAACCCUUCGAAAAAGUAGAAGGAAUAAUCCAUUUUAAUAUGUUCCUUUAUAUAUGCGGAGAACUUCUUAGUACUAGUUCGUAUGUCAAGAUGUUAUUAGGAUACUAAAUAAUGGUGCUCUUUCUAAUAAUCAGGCAGACUGUACCAUUGUCUAUUUAUGUGUGCGCAUAUUUUUGGUAGUAUAUUGAACAAUUGUCCUUGAAAAGUUGAAAUAAUUGACAGAUCCACAGAAGUGAAAGCUGCGGCGAUGUCGUUCGUACUCCAUAUCACUUAGAGAGGACACUAGGAGUGGAAUGGCCAUCACUUAUUAUAGUAGUUUUCUGAAAAAAUAACCUCCUUUUAUGGAGUAACUUUAAUUUGGCCAUUGAGAAUUUGAGAAGUAAUUUUCAGGAUAAGAGCAUCUUUUAUCUUGCAUAAAGAUUGCAUCCUUAUCUUUCCUGUUCCUCUUGAACGUGAUUAUGCAACAAUUUAAAACUAUAUUAAAUGUUCUUGCAGAAUAUAAAGUAAAAGUAGUAUUGUCAUGUACUUUGGUUUAACCUUCAGUGUAAUAUUUGAUUUUCGUGUACUGUGUAUGAAAGCUGCAUUUGUACUGACUGAUUAUAAUUUGCUUUGCUUCUCAUCGCGACUGAUAAUUUUCUGAAAUACUCACUCUAUUUUAAUCAAGGUGUUGCAGGUGUUAUCACUGUAGGAGGUAAGGUUUGCAGCCGAAAUAUAUAACUUAUUGCGUCCAGACAAUCGAGAAAUAUAGUACAAUAAAUUUCUUUUUCUCUUUCAUUAACCUGCAGCAGAGGAUUUGGCUAAUAUUUUGCAUCUUAUCUCGAUGACUAGUUGAUCUAAUAUAGAAUAGCCUCUCUGUCUGUAACAUGUACUUGUUUGAGUUGCCAUUCGUAGGGUCUGCUAUCGGUGAUAUAAUAAAAUGACCUAUUUGCUUGUAGUUUCAUGCAAGGUUUUGUGAAGUUCUUUUGAUAAUUUUUCUUGCUAAAUGGAAAGGUUCAUUUUUUUUCAAUGACUGAACAAAAACUUGACCACCGGUACAUGGCCAGCUAGGGACUUUAGAUAGUGCUCACAUGCACUUCUAGUCCUUUACUGUUUGGACUCUACGAUAUUACUCAACUUUCCUAAGCAUGUCUAACAGACCCAGAUUUAUUGUUUAACUAACCUGGAAAGUGAAACACAAACUAAAAGGACUCUGAAUAAGCAUAGCUCAUAGCUCAACUCUAAUUUUUGUUGUGCCAAUCAUGAGAUAUCUGCAUAGAGUUCUCAGGCAGUCUUACUUCCCUUAGCUUUUGGUCAUUCCGAAGUUUCCUUACGACCUUCCUUCCAAUUUCUGAAAUUGUGUGCACUUAGUUUCUUUCUGCAUGAAUCCUCUACAGUACAUGUACAUGUCAAUUGACUUAAUUUCCUCUUCAGGUUGGCAACGUUGCUACAAGGCUGGACAAGUCACCUAGUGAAAUCAUUUGCUUCACCUGUUCCGAAGACCAUACAAGUUUUUUUUUUACUUUAUAUUGUAUUGACCUGAAAGGCUACAAAGUACAUCUGAUAAAUUAGGAUGAACUUUUCAUAUGUAGCUAGUAUGUGGCACAUAUCUUACUACAAAGUAAUAUACAAAUGUGAAGCACAUAUGUUGAAUGUUCUAUUUUUGGGUAUGAAUGGAUUGCAAUGCUGAGUUGAGAUAUUGGUUUAUGUCUGUUUUAAUGUAGAAAAUGCCCCUAUUUAGC
RNAcentral lists this long non-coding RNA (3183 nucleotides) under Triticum aestivum (bread wheat). RNAcentral's name for it is "long non-coding RNA (TAES_LNC004904)". The record is from RNAcentral. Lineage: Eukaryota; Viridiplantae; Streptophyta; Magnoliopsida; Poales; Poaceae.